Rattus norvegicus (Norway rat) is the source of this 3064-nucleotide non-coding RNA. The record is from RefSeq and is a predicted model, not a curated record. Lineage: Eukaryota; Metazoa; Chordata; Mammalia; Rodentia; Muridae.
GUGUCACACAGGAGAAAACUGAGGCUCAGGAGGGCCACCUCUAGUCACCCAGUGAGUUUGUGCCUAAGCCAGGAGUCAAGGUCUGGCCUCUCUUGAGUCAGCUUCACUAAGCCAUCUGUGCGGGGAAGCAAGCCCAGCUGUGCAGAUGGGGGGCCUGGGCGACAGGCGUUUAAUCCAGAUGCUGAUGAUGAUAAGGAACCCGGAGCCAGCAAUAGCAGUCUAAGACUUCCAUGCCCAGCCAGGUCCAGCUAGAUCCUAGCUGAGCCUAUCGAGUCUAGGGAGAUAUCCAUGGCCUGUGGCUUUGACCUGUUCCCAUUUCCCGGUCUUACAGGCUUUUGGCGUCUGAACUGGGAAGCCCCAUGAGACCUUCAUCUCAGAUUAGGAGCUUAUCGAUGGGACUCAGAGCCUGCCCCUUAGGAUGGUAUCUCUACCUCUCUUGCCCCCCACUUUCCAAAGCUUGGCUGUAGUAUUUUUUAUAACAAUAACUACUGCUCAUAUGUUCAAGAAGUUUAAAACAAUAUAGCUAUUUCCAGCUCCGUAAUUAACAACACAUGCCAAGUCCACUACACUAAGUCUUUACUGCAUCAUCUGACUUAGCCUUCAAGAGAGCCAUUCUCCGAUUGCCGUUAUGAUCUCACUUUACUGUAGGAAACAAAUAUUCCAAAUACUUCAAUGCACCAGGCCACACGACAAAUGAACGGCAGAUUCACCGUCUGAACCAAGACACUGAAUACGUACUCCCAUUCACACGCCCGUGGAGCCCAGAAUGGAGAAGAGCACAGGUGCACAGAGCCUGUCUGAGGAGGGAAAAGUGACCCAACCAGCAUGGGUCACCUUUGACACCAGGAACAAGAUGUAGAACUCUUAGCUCCUCCUGCACCAUGCCUGCCUGGAUGCUGUCAUGUUCCUGCCUUGAUGAUAACGGACUGAACCUCUGAACCUCAGUAAGACGCCCGACCUGAAGAGAGAGCCAGAAGGUGGGCUGUGGACCCUGAGAAGCUGUGGUUGCCAGUACGGACUUGCUAUGGCCUUGUUGCCAUGUGGAGGGGGUGUGAGAGCGGAGCUGUAGACACGGCAGAGGGUCGGGACGUCUCUGAACCUUCAAACCUAAAACUUCCCUAAAAGAGUGAAGUCCUUCAACUCGUCACUUCAAGCAAUGUUCUAAGUACUUUUACAAAUCUAAUCUAAAGGAUUCCCAACAGCAGCCUGAAGCAAAGCCAGUGAUGUCUACUGUCCAUGUGCACGGAAGUCCCGGUGACUCGGGGUCUCAUGCUCUAGUUCACGUCCUCAACCUGUAACAGCCAGUGGGCUUCACUCAGUUCUGCUGUGACCCAUGCUUUGCAACAUGACUCUGUUCCUACUCGUACACACGUGUCAGGGAAUGAUUUGAGUAUAAAGUAAAUCUCACUUUGCUCUCAAUGAGAAGCCUGUGUAUGAACGAGCUACAGCCUGCAUUCGUAAAGGCAGGCUCACUGGGACACAGUGCGGCUUCGUUCACCUCUGGGGCUGCUGCUUCUUUGCAACACCAUGGAACUGAGAAGGGCUGGCUCUGCAAAGUGGGAAGUCUGGCAGGUUUUUGAAGAAGAAUUUGUGGGAACCUCGGCUGUACAUUGUGACGGCUGAUCUUGAUUGUUGACUCCAUUGAUCUGGGUGAUUCUUACACUGCAAGUAAGGCAUCCCUCUGGGUAAGACUUCAAGGGCAUUUCCAGAAACAGAUCGUUAGCCAGCCACAUUCAUAACCCACUAAUGGCUUCUCUGAUGGUUACAAGACCUGCCCAGUCACAUCUGUGUCUACUCUCUGACUGUAGAUGCCCUUCCCCCACCAGGCAAACCCUCCCACAGUACAAGUCAACUUCAGGGUGUUUUCAAGAAAAACAUAUUUAUUGUAGUAUUUAUAUAUUUUCAUUAUUUAAUAUGCUUUCUAAAGACUACAUUUUAUUAUGGCCUGAUGUCUUCUAUGUGUCACUGAUAAAUGUUUGAAAUAUUUUGCUUUUAUCUCAUUUUUGUCAUAACCCCUGAUAGUCUCUAGAAUUAUUACCAUGAUGAGGGCUGAAGAGAUGACUCAGCGGUUAAGAGUACCGAUUGCUCUUCCAGAGGUCCUGAGUUCAAAUCCCAGCAACUACAUGUUGGCUCACAACCAUCUGUAAUGGGAUCCAAUGACUUCUGCUGCUGUGUCUGAAGACAGCGACAGUGUACUUACAUACAAGAAAUAAAUAAUUUCAAAUUAUUGUCAUGGUUUUAAAAAAAUCACAUAGCAUAAGUAACCAUUUCUCGGUGAGUAAUUCAGGAGUGUUCAAUGGAUUUGCAAAUGAUUUGUAAAACCACUCUGUACAUUUUUUAUUGACAUUUUUCAUGAAACUGUCCCCUCGAGUCCCACUAGCCACGUCCUGUUUUCUGUUUCUGUGGGUGUAAGUACUUUACAUGCCUUCUACAAACAGAAUCUACAGUAGUGGACUUUGAAGACGGGUUUACUUUCUGGUCUAAUUGCUCAAGGCUCAUCUACAUUACAUGUAUCAGACUUUUCUUUUCCCCAAGGCUACUGCACUAUUCUGUGUUCUGCUGUGGCUUGCACCCUAAGACUUUCCUCCCUUUGCCCUUUCUCUGUGUGAAGACAGAGUCAUCCUUCCACUCUAUCAUUACGGCAGCGAACGCCAUUUACAAAGCAGAAAGCUGCCCUCAGCUCACACGGAGUCUGUCAGGACCUUUGUUUGGGGCCUCCAGCUUCUCCAGAAAUUAAUUCCUGAGAUGUUUCCUUCUGGGGUGAUGUUUUUAUUGUUUGGUUUGAUUUGUCUGGGGUAUGUGAAUGGGUGUAGGUCUUACUAUGUAGCCUAGACUGGCCUCAAAUCCAUAAUUCCCUCACCUCCACUUCCCAAGUGCUGGGGUUUAUAGGCAUGUGUCGCCAUACCCAGCCUAAGCUCCUGUUCUUUGUAAAUACUUGGAUAUUUCAUGAUAGCAGCACACACAAGUAAGGCGCUUAUACACCACAUUCUGUUUAUCCAUUCUUCCGUUAAUGGACACUGGGGUGACUUCUAUCUCUUGCCUGCUGGGAAGCCUGCUGCUCUGA